UUAUACUGUGAAACUGCGAAUGGCUCAUUAAAUCAGUUAUCGUUUAUUUGAUAGUACCUUACUACAUGGAUACCUGUGGUAAUUCUAGAGCUAAUACAUGCUAAAAACCCCGACUUCGGAAGGGGUGUAUUUAUUAGAUAAAAAACCAAUGCCCUUCGGGGCUCCUUGGUGAUUCAUAAUAACUUAACGAAUCGCAUGGCCUUGCGCCGGCGAUGGUUCAUUCAAAUUUCUGCCCUAUCAACUUUCGAUGGUAGGAUAGUGGCCUACCAUGGUGGCAACGGGUAACGGGGAAUUAGGGUUCGAUUCCGGAGAGGGAGCCUGAGAAACGGCUACCACAUCCAAGGAAGGCAGCAGGCGCGCAAAUUACCCAAUCCCGACACGGGGAGGUAGUGACAAUAAAUACUGAUACGGGGCUCUUUCGGGUCUCGUAAUUGGAAUGAGUACAAUCUAAAUCCCUUAACGAGGAACAAUUGGAGGGCAAGUCUGGUGCCAGCAGCCGCGGUAAUUCCAGCUCCAAUAGCGUAUAUUAAAGUUGUUGCAGUUAAAAAGCUCGUAGUUGAACCUUGGGUCUGGCUGGCCGGUCCGCCUCACCGCGAGUACUGGUCCGGCUGGACCUUUCCUUCUGGGGAAUCCCAUGGCCUUCACUGGCUGUGGGGGGAACCAGGACUUUUACUGUGAAAAAAUUAGAGUGUUCAAAGCAGGCCUUUGCUCGAAUACAUUAGCAUGGAAUAAUAGAAUAGGACGUGCGGUUCUAUUUUGUUGGUUUCUAGGACCGCCGUAAUGAUUAAUAGGGAUAGUCGGGGGCGUCAGUAUUCAGCUGUCAGAGGUGAAAUUCUUGGAUUUGCUGAAGACUAACUACUGCGAAAGCAUUCGCCAAGGAUGUUUUCAUUAAUCAGGGAACGAAAGUUAGGGGAUCGAAGACGAUCAGAUACCGUCGUAGUCUUAACCAUAAACUAUGCCGACUAGGGAUCGGGCGGUGUUUCUAUGAUGACCCGCUCGGCACCUUACGAGAAAUCAAAGUUUUUGGGUUCUGGGGGGAGUAUGGUCGCAAGGCUGAAACUUAAAGAAAUUGACGGAAAGGGCUCCACAAGGCGUGGAGCCUGCGGCUUAAUUUGGACUCAACACGUGGGAAACUCCCCAGGGGCCAGACAAAAUAAGGGAUUGACAGAUUGAGAGCUCUUUCUUGAUCUUUUGGAUGGUGGUGCAUGGCCGUUCUUAGUUGGUGGAGUGAUUUGUCUGCUUAAUUGCGAUAACGAACGAGACCUCGGCCCUUAAAUAGCCCGGUCCGCAUUUGCGGGCCGCUGGCUUCUUAGGGGGACUAUCGGCUCAAGCCGAUGGAAGUGCGCGGCAAUAACAGGUCUGUGAUGCCCUUAGAUGUUCUGGGCCGCACGCGCGCUACACUGACAGGGCCAGCGAGUACAUCACCUUGGCCGAGAGGUCUGGGUAAUCUUGUUAAACCCUGUCGUGCUGGGGAUAGAGCAUUGCAAUUAUUGCUCUUCAACGAGGAAUGCCUAGUAGGCACGAGUCAUCAGCUCGUGCCGAUUACGUCCCUGCCCUUUGUACACACCGCCCGUCGCUACUACCGAUUGAAUGGCUCGGUGAGGCCUUCGGACUGGCUCCAGGGGGUUGGCAACGACCCCU
RNAcentral lists this ribosomal RNA (1641 nucleotides) under Trichoderma reesei. RNAcentral's name for it is "SSU rRNA". It matches the Rfam family "Eukaryotic small subunit ribosomal RNA". Lineage: Eukaryota; Fungi; Ascomycota; Sordariomycetes; Hypocreales; Hypocreaceae. The record is from RNAcentral.